Molecule: unclassified non-coding RNA, 253 nt
Filed under: uncultured Flavobacteriaceae bacterium
Lineage: Bacteria; Pseudomonadati; Bacteroidota; Flavobacteriia; Flavobacteriales; Flavobacteriaceae
Description: contains 16S-23S intergenic spacer region
Rfam family: Bacterial small subunit ribosomal RNA
Source: RNAcentral
UACGGAGGAUCCAAGCGUUAUCCGGAAUCAUUGGGUUUAAAGGGUCCGUAGGCGGGUGCGUAAGACAGUGGUGAAAGUCUGCAGCUUAACUGUAGAACUGCCAUUGAUACUGCACACCUUGAGUAAAUAUGAAGUGGUUAGAAUAUGUAGUGUAGCGGUGAAAUGCAAAGAUAUUACAUAGAAUACCGAAUGCGAAGGCAGAUCACUAAUAAAAUACUGGCCCUGAUGGACGAAAGCGUAGGUAGCGAACAGG